This is a long non-coding RNA of Cucumis melo (muskmelon), 574 nucleotides long. RefSeq lists it as uncharacterized. The record is from RefSeq and is a predicted model, not a curated record. Lineage: Eukaryota; Viridiplantae; Streptophyta; Magnoliopsida; Cucurbitales; Cucurbitaceae. The transcript is spliced from 2 exons.
UAUGAUCAUAUCUUCAAAAGUAAAUUAUGAGAAAACGACAAAUUAUUGUAAUUAUUAGGAAACUUUUACUGCCCUACCCAUCAUAUCCUUAUUUCAGCGUUACCUUCUUCAGUCCUCCUAUUAUAAAUACAUUUGAAAUCCAAACUAAUUCUCAUCCACAUCCCAUCUUCAAAUACUUUUCAUUGUUCCUAUUUGCAAAGAAAAAAUGAAUUCCAAGCCUUUCAUCCUCCUCGGUCUUCUGUUCGCCAUCGUCGUCCUUUGUUCAAUGGAUGUAAACACAGUUACGGCUAGGGAUGUAAAUUUCAAAGAAGCUAUUAUGGAAACUGAUGAACUUGAUGACGAUGUCAACCGCCAUGGUUAUGGAGGAGGACACGCUAGAAUCCUCCAACAAUGCCUCCAUGGUUGCAACACCGGUUGUUGUAGCUGCGUCCGCGGUCGUUGCGUCCGGUGCUGCUAGAUUGGCUGGUGAGACCGUGGUUGAUAUAGAAACCUCAAGAUAAACGUGUUUUGUUGCUUCAAAUAAUGGCUUUGAUUUCUCAAGUUGAUAUGUAUAAAAUAUAUGUUUACAGUUUAA